Salvelinus sp. IW2-2015 is the source of this 1630-nucleotide non-coding RNA. Lineage: Eukaryota; Metazoa; Chordata; Actinopteri; Salmoniformes; Salmonidae. The record is from RefSeq and is a predicted model, not a curated record.
UGGAUUCAAACGAGGGUGUCUGUAGUGACGCCUCUAGCACUGAGGCAGUGCCUUAGACCGCUGCGCCACUCGGGCGCCCAUUGUUGGAGAGAUGGCAACCCUUAAAGCACUCGUGUAUGAUAAUGGUUCGUUAAAUUCUGGAUGAGGGUAGAACAGCCUGACAAUAUCCCUUUUCAUUGCUUUCACCGUUAUGCUUUGUACAUUUUAGAAAUGAUUAUGUUAACUGGUGUUGAUGAUCCAUUGACUGGGAUCUUUUUUUUUAAAGGUCCAAUCAAAGAUCUCCUUUGUGUCUUUCUGACUGUUUUUCAGAUUUAUGCCCACACUCCUCAAACGAAACAAACCUAGGGCUUGAUUCAAUCCGUAUCGCCGGAAUUGCGCGUCAUAGUGCGUUUUUGCCAUUUAAAGGUCAUUUCCGAUUGAGCUGACUUAUACGCAGCGUUUACCGUGAAUGCGGUCUCCGCCACCGUGGGAACAUUYCCUUUUUAUAUAGGCCAGGGUUUCUCAAGAAUCUCAAUAUCCAUAUUUGGUUAACUCUCGUUAAAUAGAUGUUAACUGCUGUCUGCGUUCUCAGGUGGAUAAUUCCCCAUCUGCUCUCGCCCACCCCCCCCGCUCUCUCUUGAGCUGAGCGGCUGUGACACCAGUUUCUCCUGCCGGAGGGAGAGCGGGAGGGAGCGACAAUUAGACAGGAAAUCAGAUUUGACCUGCAUAGAGCUGUAAGAUGCACCUGUUCAACAUAACACCACGUUCACUUACAUCGCUGCUGAUUCAACUCUGAGUGAUGGGAUAGCUUCACCUGGAAACAAGACCAAUAUUUUACUUUGGCGUGCGUGUCUGUGUGUGAGAGCUUCUCCCUCAAUCAAGACUCAUCCCGAGAGAGCACAAGCAUUCCUCUUCAGAGCAGCUGUUAUGUGACUAUCCCUGCACACAGGUGUUACGGGAAAUGGAUAUCAGAAGCCACAGGAGAGGAAGCUACGUCUGUCGAAAGGCCCAUUUGUUCGUCUCUGUCGAGGUCCACGAUGACCUCAUCCAUCCUGGAAUCCGACCAAUCCCGUCCUGGAAUCUCCCUUACACCGUGACCACCAGCGCGAGCUGAUGCUCAGUCACAGAUGGUGGAAACAGUUAACAGUCAACACGACCAGGAACCAAAUGCCAGCUGGAAAAUUGCCAAUACAGAGGCUCAGCUGAACACACAGACACACAGCUCUGUUGGGCAUCACUGGGCUUUGCAAAUACGUCGACCACACGCAGACAACAGGUGGGUUAAAUCUCCCAGCAGAACAGAACAGGCUCUCAAUAAUCAGGGGAGAGGAGAGAGACCAACAUUAUACAUAUUUAACCUCAAUACAACUCCAAACACCAUCAAUCCCUGAAUGUAUAAUUCUGGACCAUUGUUCCUCAUCAAUAGGUAAUAAGCACCAUAUUCAUAUCAAGAUAAUCACUUUCAUCACAUUCACCAAUAGGUCCACUUUCACUUAAAGACAGACCCCAGGAAUGUGUAAAUAGAGACAGGAAUGAGGUGGAUGAAAUCAUAUCUUGAAGACAAAACACAGUGUGUCAGUUAGCAAUGAGCUGUCGCCCACUCUAUGAUGUGGGCGUGCCCCAAGGCUCAAUACUGGGGCCCCUCGUAUUC